RNAcentral lists this ribosomal RNA (354 nucleotides) under uncultured fungus. Its description in RNAcentral is "bacterial SSU rRNA". It matches the Rfam family "Eukaryotic small subunit ribosomal RNA", at positions 1326 to 1698 of the family's 1831-position model. Lineage: Eukaryota; Fungi. The record is from RNAcentral.
CGUUAACGAACGAGACCUUAACCUGCUAAAUAGUUAAACCUGAUUUUUUAUCAGGUUGACAACUUCUUAGAGGGACUAUCGGUGUUUAACCGAUGGAAGUUUGAGGCAAUAACAGGUCUGUGAUGCCCUUAGAUGUCCUGGGCCGCACGCGCGUUACACUGACAGAGCCAACGAGUUCAUCACCUUGGCCGAGAGGCUUGGGUAAUCUUGUGAAACUCAGUCGUGCUGGGGAUAGAGCAUUGCAAUUAUUGCUCUUCAACGAGGAAUGCCUAGUAAGCGUGAGUCAUCAGCUCGCGUUGAUUACGUCCCUGCCCUUUGUACACACCGCCCGUCGCUACUACCGAUUGAAUGGCU